RNAcentral lists this ribosomal RNA (423 nucleotides) under uncultured bacterium. Its description in RNAcentral is "bacterial SSU rRNA". It matches the Rfam family "Bacterial small subunit ribosomal RNA", at positions 32 to 432 of the family's 1533-position model. The record is from RNAcentral.
AAUCAACGCUGGCGGCGUGCCUCAGACAUGCAAGUCGAACGCGAAAGUUCCCUUCGGGGGAGCAAGUAGAGUGGCGCACGGGUGAGUAACACGUGGAUAAUUUACCUUCGGGUGGGGAAGUAACAGUCGGAAACGGCUGCUAAUACCGCAUAAUGCAGCGGCAUCUAUGAUGACAGUUGUUAAAGCGGGGGAGUCGCAAGACCUCGCGCCUGAAGAGAAGUCCGCGGCAGAUUAGCUAGUUGGUAGGGUAAUGGCCUACCAAGGCUUCGAUCUGUAGCCGGCCUGAGAGGGCGGUCGGCCACACUGACACUGACAUACGGGUCAGACUCCUACGGGAGGCAGCAGUCGGGAAUUUUGGGCAAUGGGCGAAAGCCUGACCCAGCAACGCCGCGUGAAGGAUGAAGCAUUUCGGUGUGUAAACUU